RNAcentral lists this unclassified non-coding RNA (3226 nucleotides) under Leishmania donovani. RNAcentral describes it as "gene:LdHU3.29.2370(CDS-product:hypothetical_prote in_conserved)". The record is from RNAcentral. Lineage: Eukaryota; Euglenozoa; Kinetoplastea; Trypanosomatida; Trypanosomatidae.
UCCUCUCCCAUCCCACCAAAAAAGGGGUGAGGAAGAGCGAACUUGCCCUUCCCCGUGAAGAGGGUCGAUCUGCGCACUUUGCGGGUGCCGUGCCUUGCGCUUCCUCCACGACAACGACAACUGCGACACCCCGCGUCCCACCACUCCCGCGCUGCGACUCGCGCCGGGAAAGUAGUAGGAGAUUGGAUCGGUUGGCGUAUCGCAACUUGCUGAAGUGCGGAUCAGCGCCUUUGUCCACCUCCCUCACUCUCUCUGCGUCGUGUAUAAUCGUUCGCUUUUGUAUUCUCUUGUUCGUAAGGGCCCUUCCCUACUUCCCUCUGCCUUCCUCCAAUGGCGGGCCGGUGCGACGCCGCCAGCCCGCUGCCCCUGCGCGCUGUGCUUAGGGCUCACGAGGUGGUCGCGGCAGGGCGUGCGGAAAACGUGCUGCAGGUGCCGUCGCCCAUCUACACGGCCAUUUUCGUGGAUGCGCAUCACGCACUCAUAGGAGCCGGCGGCGGUGGCCGGCGCUUUGGCAUGCCGAACAUUGCCCUACUGUUGCGCGUGCAGUCGCUGGGCAGCGCGUCGAAGGCGGACCCCACCACCGAGGCCCCCGCUACGUCUUCGGCGCUAGCAGCAGACGCGCCACCAGUGUGGAGCUUCGCAGCAGCGGUGGAUCUCGGUCCAGACAACAUUCCGUGGUGCACCUCAUCUUUUCUUCCCUUUGAGGCGAGUGCGCAGGAGAGGAAAGCAUGCAGCGGCGCGUCUACUGAACCGGCGGCACUGGACUGGUCCGAUGCCCAGCGGCGCGUCCUUGACGGCCUCGUCGGGUUUGUCGCGCUCAGCACCGUGGCGUCAUUCUUGCUUCUCGGUGUUUUUCGCGGCCCCGAGCCGUCGACCUCGCAAGCCACGGAACCCUCUGCAUCCUCUGCAGCCAGCGCGCCUGCGAGCACCAGCGGAGACGCAGAUUCGCGCCGCUACCUCCGCCAGCUGGCCCGCAUCGAAGUGCCGAGUGACGCAAAGAACCCUGACAAGAAGCCCAUCGCACUCGUCCAAAACCUGGUCCUUGUCUCACACGAUGACAAUGGUGUGCUCGCGUUCGCUCUUACUGACCUCGUGCCGGACAGCUGUGAAGAUGAGGAUCUUGACGCGUACACGGCCAGAUACGCUGACCAGACUACGAACGGUGCUUCUGGCGCGGUUCUGCAACGACGCGUUCCGCGCGUGCGAACCGAGGCCGCCCCUGUGGCUUCAUGGCAGCUGCCUGCGCGCGUGAAUGAUUUGAGCGUGAACCGAGUGUGCAUCGUGAAAGCUGACGCGAGCAACGGAGCGUCGUCGUCGUCCCCGCGGCCCUGUAAGGCACACCUGCAGGAGCAUCUCGUUGUUGCCGCCUUAUUGCUGAACAAGACGCUGGUGCUGAGCACUGUACGCCUGCGGCGCCGCUACACCCGCUCACGUAGUCACAAGGCGUCUGCCGUUCAAGAAGAGACCACCGCUGAAAAUAUGCAGACAGAGGCCAAGUCGGACACUACGGCGGCCGCCACCAUGAGCACCGCGUUGACCUUGACGGAGAACAUGCUUCCGCUACCGUUCAAGUUGAUGACCUCUUCUCUUCGCCUGGUGCGUCUCUUCGGCUGGGGCGACAUCGACGCCGCUCAGCAGGCCGAUAUGCGGCGUCGCCUCACGUGGCAGUCUCUGCAAGCAGGGGGUGCGCCCACGCACGGCCCGCUGUGCGGCAUCAUGGUGGCAGCCUACAACUCCGUGACGAACGAGUCGUAUGUAAUUCACGGUGCAGUAGAGGUGAUGCCACUAACGUCGUCUAUGCCAUCCUCCUGUACAUGGGAUAGUAUCGGGCCUCUAUGUUUGAAGGUGCAGUGGACGCGUAAAGACCCGGCCCCGGUGCUAAGCGACGCCAUCACGUCGCUGGCCGUUUACACGGACGGGCCCCCGGGAGAGUAUGCCACCCGCGUUUCAGCAAACCCUCUCGGCGCUGCGGUCCCCACGCGCUGGAUUGCUGGCACGGUCGAGGGUUGGGUAGCAUCUCUGCGUCUGAGCCACGACCCCGCGCAGCGGCCUCACUGGCAAGCGGAUCAAAUUCGCCCUUCACCAAACAAAUCUGUGGCGCGGCGCUACCCUGCACUGCACAAGGAGCCGGUCUCAUGCGUGGCCGUCUCCUCUGAGAACGACGUGGUGAGUGCUGACAUUGCCCAAAAUGUGGCGCUGACAACACUGCCAUACGCCGUGCCGCGUGCACCUUCCUCGGCGACGGCAUCGCCAUCGUCGAAAACGCUGAGAUGCGAUGUUGCUGUGCAGCCCCGCUCGACAUCCUCCUCCCCCCUGUUCCCUCCAGCAGGGGCAGUGAGUGGUGGGCUUCUGGGAAGCCUUACGGACAAUCUCGCCAACGGUCUGUCGUCGCUGCGCGUUGCCUGGUUCCUGCUCAUUCCGCUAGUUCUGCUGCUGGCCGGCAUGAUCAUCAGCCGGAGACCGUGAGCUGUGCGUUUUGCAAACCUUCAUCCAGAACCCCUUCGAGCAUCUGCGGAGCUAGGGAGUGUGUGCGCAUGCCCCCUGCCCGUCUUUUGUAGCGUAUGCACGUUUUUUUUUUUGCGCCGUUGUUAGUUUUGUUUUUCAGGUACGCAUGCACUUGUAUGCGACUCGCGGUGGUGCUCCGUUCACGAGGGUCGUCAAGCAGAAGAAGACAGACAAAUCCGAGCGAACAAAAGAAGAGGAGGCUCAACCAUCCUGUGACGUCAACGAGUAACCCUCUUCGCGAAGCAGCCAGCGCGACGAGGUAGGAGCGUGAGAAACAGAGGGAUGCACAUACAUGUGCGAGGUGUGCCUGCCGCCGUGCUCUAUCUUUGACGCCCUCUCUCCAAGCCCGUGGGACGAGAGCUACGCAAGCGUCUCUCUCCCCUCCACUCCCGCACACUCCUCCUAAGCCGCCUUUGCGCCUCUCCGGCCUCCUCCAUGACCGCGUAUGUGCACUCUCUCUCUCCUCCUCCCUUCCGCAUUCUUCACCCGCGCCACACAACGGAUGCCAUCAUGUGGCAUGUCUCUCUCACGCAAUCUAUGCGCCACCCCCCUCUCUUCCCCUGGUACGCAUAUGUGGGGCGUCUUGGACCCACUCCCACCUCCACUCCACCACAUGUGUGCUCACGACACCAACGUGGUGUCAUGUCUGUCUGCAUUCGCCCUCCUUUGCAUUCGCCUUCUUCCUCCUUCACCCCUUCCUCUCCUCCUCUCAUCUGCACAG